GUCCUUCUCAGCAAAGCUGCUCUGCAGCUGGUCGGGUCCCAGCCUGCAUAUUAUUACGGGCUCUUCUUACCUAGGAUUAAACAACAGAAUAACAGACUUCCUUCUUCAGCUGGCAGAUCAAAGGCAAACAUCUCGGAAUAAUGUCUGAAGGUGUCAGUGUUCGCUAAAGGGUGCUUUUCUCCGUAGAGCUUGUCUGUACAUGUCCUCAUUACAUCAUACUGCUAAGGUCUGCAGACAUUCAUCCAACCUGCAGAUGGGUUAUGAUCUACUAGCUGCCACCCCUGUGGAUGGUUAUA
Cygnus olor (mute swan) is the source of this 296-nucleotide long non-coding RNA. RefSeq lists it as uncharacterized. The transcript is spliced from 3 exons. The record is from RefSeq and is a predicted model, not a curated record. Lineage: Eukaryota; Metazoa; Chordata; Aves; Anseriformes; Anatidae.